RNAcentral lists this ribosomal RNA (864 nucleotides) under Triticum aestivum (bread wheat). RNAcentral's name for it is "partial small subunit ribosomal RNA". The record is from RNAcentral. Lineage: Eukaryota; Viridiplantae; Streptophyta; Magnoliopsida; Poales; Poaceae.
AUGCUGCGGAUGAACGGAGGCGGCAAGGGCAGCGAUUAUGGGAGCUUAGAGCCGGGAGCUACGAGCAUGAGCAUGAGGAGUUGGAGCACAACCACCGCGUUCACCAACAGGAGCAUCCGGGUGGCGUCCAUGGUGAUGGGGAUGAUGAUCUCAAUGCUGAGGGUCAGGGCUACCUGCGAUGAUGAAGGCGAGGACGAGCUCUCCGAAGCUUUGAAGAGGAGGGGGCGGGCAGAGGAGCAUGUUGAGGAUCACAUAAACGCUGCACAGGAACUAGUUGCAUUGGGUGAAGUGGUUGGGAAUUUGAGAAAUGUGAAUCCUUGGUUGGACUUCCCUGCAAGCAUUCAUACCAUCCUGACUGCAUUUCAGUGGCGUCAAAUAAAUAAGGGGCAGUUCUUCUGCUUAGGUUUACUCCAGGCAUAUUUCAGUAGGCACCUAGGUGUUUUGCAAGUUACUCUGGCCGCAUUUCGAUUGAUAAUAGCUUACAUUGUAAGUAAAACAUGCAAUAAAGUUUUUGUAUCGUUACAGAUCGGGACGCAGCUGGCCACCACAACCUGUAGCUACAUGCAUUCAUGCACUACACGCACGCACGGUGUGUCCAAGGCUCCAACCUCGCUUGUCAAUGGAUGGCCAAGCAAGCAGAGCCACUUUAUAGUUUUUGUGAAAAUUCCUGGUUUUGUGUCUGUGUUCAAGCCACUUUCUGACGCAGCGAAGAGCAGGAGGAUUCCAACGGAGGAGAUGAUGCGGUUUUUGCAGCAGGUGCCAUUUCACAUCCAGAACUCCCCCAAGGAGAGGGCGUACAUGAUGCUGCGGACGAAUGGAGGUAAUGAUGGCGGCGAUUAUGGGAGCUCAGAGGCCGGGAGCUAA